GCCUUCGUGGUGUAGUGGUCUGCAUGAUCGACGCGUAACCGAGAGGUCCGUGGUUCGAUUCCCGGCGAAGGCG
Molecule: non-coding RNA, 73 nt
Organism: Stegodyphus mimosarum
Lineage: Eukaryota; Metazoa; Arthropoda; Arachnida; Araneae; Eresidae
Source: Rfam